GAUGAAGAACGUAGCGAAAUGCGAUAAGUAAUGUGAAUUGCAGAAUUCAGUGAAUCAUCGAAUCUUUGAACGCACAUUGCGCCCGCCAGUAUUCUGGCGGGCAUGCCUGUUCGAGCGACAUUUCAACCAUCAAGCCCCAGGCUUGUGUUGGGGACCUGCGGCUGCCGCAGGCCCUGAAAACCAGUGGCGGGCUCGCUGUCACACCGGGCGUAGUAGAUUUUAUCUCGCUCAGGGCGUGCUGCGGGUUCCGGCCGUUAAAAAGCCUUUUUUACCCAAGGUUGACCUCGGAUCAGGUAGGAAGACCCGCUGAACUUAAGCAUAUCAAUAAGCGGAGGA
This 336-nucleotide unclassified non-coding RNA is filed under the name soil metagenome. Its description in RNAcentral is "partial contains 5.8S ribosomal RNA, internal transcribed spacer 2, and large subunit ribosomal RNA". The stretch from base 1 to 120 matches the Rfam family "5.8S ribosomal RNA", at positions 35 to 154 of the family's 154-position model. The record is from RNAcentral.